UCGGCCAGGCCCCUAACCCUCGCCGCGGGAAGACGAACCUGGGAUCCCCAGGGCCCGGGCCCUCGCUGCGGCCUGUGUGUCCUGAAGCUGUCUCCCCCUCUAGGCGGCGGGCGGCUUAGCACCCACACCUGCACCCGCCUCCUCCGCAGGGCAGAAGCUCCCGAACGCGCGGCCGCUCCCCGGACCUCCGCACUAGUUCCUUCCUUAUGCGGCCCAGGGCUCCACCCUUGACCCGCGGUCCCCUCCCUAGAGGCAGGAGCUGACACCCAGUGGGCUCCUUCUUUCCCUAGGGCGUGACCUCCGCAGGCUUCAUAGACUCAAAGAAACCACAGGGCACAGGUUAGACUGGGCACACCUUUUAUUUGGCUGCAUGCAGUAGGGCGAAGUCAGGAGAACACUGCUAUCCUUCCAGCAGGACAAGAGGCAAGUUCCAAGGGUGGCUGGCUGGGAGACAGAGGUCUUGGGAAUGGCAGUUCUAGGGGUGGGGUGGGGGCUUGGAAUGCUCUCCAAGCCAGAGGGGGCCUGGCCUGGAUUUGGGAGGUGGACAGGGGAUCCUUCAAACGCCCUACCAUACUCAUCCAGGGCUCACGUGUCCAGCUGUCAGAGCAGGUCCCAAUCCUGCUCCCCACCUACCCUGGGACAUCCUGUGCAGGAUUCCCUCAGUCCUCUGGGAACCUGACCCCACCUGGUACCCAUCUAGCUUCUGGGGCUCCACUGACAGUGAGGACAGUCCACACCCGACCUGGACCCCAUCCCGCCCUGGGUCUGCCCAUCUCAGUCCCGGCCUGAG
Molecule: long non-coding RNA, 790 nt
Organism: Gorilla gorilla gorilla (western lowland gorilla)
Lineage: Eukaryota; Metazoa; Chordata; Mammalia; Primates; Hominidae
Exons: 2
Source: RefSeq, a predicted model, not a curated record